CAGAAGACUGAUCACCCUUCAGCUGCCCGACAUCCAGCCUGAAGAAUAUGUUUGGAAUUAAGCAGGGAUCUUGGUUGAAAAGAACAUCAGAGCCCUGAGUCACCAUUUAAGAAGUCCGACUACCCUGCUGAAGAGAUCACAUGGAGGGGCUCUGAGACUACAGCCUGAGAGCUGUUCCCACCAAGGUGUCAGGCUUGUGACUGAAGCCAUCUUGGAUGUUCCAGACUGGCCCAGGCCUCCAGACCUGGGCUGAAUUACAUCACCAGCUUUCCUGAUUCUUCAGCUUGCAGAUGGCAGAUUAGGGAACUUCUCAGUCUCCAUAAUCAUGUCAGCUGGGGCUCUGCUCUGCAUCUUCCUCCCUCUGGAACCCUAGCUGAGUGAGUGGUCACUAUCUGGAACAUUGCUG
This 406-nucleotide long non-coding RNA is filed under the name Homo sapiens (human). RNAcentral describes it as "HSALNT0343540". Lineage: Eukaryota; Metazoa; Chordata; Mammalia; Primates; Hominidae. The record is from RNAcentral.